Non-coding RNA from Coffea arabica (coffee), 227 nucleotides. Lineage: Eukaryota; Viridiplantae; Streptophyta; Magnoliopsida; Gentianales; Rubiaceae. The record is from RefSeq and is a predicted model, not a curated record.
CAAUGGACCGGUUAUACUGCGAUUGUUGUGACUUUGAGGGGCAUUUUGGGAUUGGAUGGCAAUGGCUUUGCUGGAAAUUCACUUCUGUCCGCGUGGCUCUCUUCGAUGGCAACAUUUUGACGAUACAUGACAUGGUCGCAAUUGCCAGACAUUUGAAUGUGACGCUUAUAGUUCCUGAGUUGGAUAAAACUUCUUUCUGGGCAGAUCCAAGUGAGUUUCAAGACAUA